Bubalus bubalis (water buffalo) is the source of this 368-nucleotide long non-coding RNA. RefSeq lists it as uncharacterized. The record is from RefSeq and is a predicted model, not a curated record. NCBI's taxonomy places the organism in Eukaryota, Metazoa, Chordata, Mammalia, Artiodactyla, Bovidae. The transcript is spliced from 4 exons.
GAGCCACAAAGCCAGAGAUUGUAGACAAAGAAAGUGAUACAGAUAUUAUUGAAAGGGCUCCACAAGAGCAAAUAAAUUAUGACCAUUUGAGUUCUGUUGAUGGAACACACAAAAAUAAUAGAAGUGAUGUGAUGUCAGCCUUAGGAUUGGGAGAAGAGGAAGAUAUAGAAUCACCUUGGGAUUCUGAGAAUAUCUCUGAGAGCCUUCCAUGAAAGUAUGUGGAUCUUUUAUCUGGAGCUGCUGGUCAAAGAGGAAAAAAUAUGGACAAGUGGAAGAUGUGUCUUAUAUACCUUCUUGCAUGAUUGGAUCCAGAAAUUUUAAGAUGGCUAAACUAGAGGAGCCAAGACAUGUAGGCAUACCAGUAGCCC